Amaranthus tricolor (Joseph's coat) is the source of this 2836-nucleotide long non-coding RNA. RefSeq lists it as uncharacterized. The record is from RefSeq and is a predicted model, not a curated record. Lineage: Eukaryota; Viridiplantae; Streptophyta; Magnoliopsida; Caryophyllales; Amaranthaceae. The transcript is spliced from 2 exons.
UUGAUACAACAAAGUGAAAAGUCGUUGCAAAAGGGCGUAUCCUAACAAUUUUUUGCAACGAUUCCCUAGCUCUUAAAAUUAACCCACGCCUCUUUGUCAAAAUUUCCCUCUCAAACCUGAAAUCCCAUCUCCUCUCAAACAAAGUGAAAACCCUAUGCUCAUCUCUUUUUCUCUGUCUAGACGUCUCCUCUACUGGGCGACACCAUUUGCCCCGCCAUGGCAGGAAAGCGGCAAGUCGACCACCGGCGUGCUAGUGUUCCGAUGAUUUGGUGCAUCAACUAUUGUAAGUUGGUAUGGUCCGCUAUUUCUUCGCGAUUUAAUUUGAUCGUGCAAUGACUUCAAGGUAAUGUAUGUAUGUUUGUUCAAUCCUUGUUCUUGUAGUUUCAUGGAUUGGAAAUCGUGAAUCUAUCUCGUUUUGGUGAUCUUGACCCUAAGUUCAUUUCACGAUUUAAUUUUUUUAGGGUUAAAUGUGAGGUAUUUUUCCUUUGUCUUUGCUUAUACAUAUGAUUUGGAUCAAAACCCUAAUCUAGUGUCAUCGGAUGCUAUUAGGGUAUGUUUUUAAAGUCUUGUGAGUAUAUGAAUCCCAUUAAUAAUGAUUUGAAACAGAAAUGAAUGUACUACAAACCAGCCUAUAAUAGAAACGAAUGUAUUUUAGGGUUAAAUGUGAGAUAUUUAUCCAUUUAUUAUGUAUGAGUUUAUCUUAAAUGUCUUGUCUUAUGGUUCAUCUCACGUGAAAUUUCUCAAAUAUAUGAUUUUUUGAGUUUAUGGAUUCAUUCCGAACUCAACUCUUAUAAGGGUGGGUAAGUUUGCUGCUAGUUAUAUAAUAUAUACUAUAUACCAGCCCCUUAUGUGUGAUGUAUCACUAAGGAGAUGAAACUAUUAAUUACCUUUCUGCACACGAGUUCUUUCGCACAACCUGAAAAUCUGGUUUUAGAAAAUGUAUCAUAGAUGGGAUUCGCACAUCUGUUCUUUCACACAGCCCCUCACUUGUUUUGUUUUGUUGUUCAGUGGUUUCUGUCUUUGCCAAUUUGUUGUGUAAAUGGAGUUUGUGAGUAUUUAUUUUAAGCUUGGUGUUACCCAUAGGUAUUUAUCUCCAUUUAUCCUUUUGAUAAAUUAUACUUCGAUCCAUAUUUUUUAUGUUGAAAUUUUGUUAAAAUAAAUUAUGUUGUUUGGUGUUGUAGUGUUUUGCUGUUGGUGUUUGUUUUUGGGCAUAGCUCCUAUUAUUUUGAUUGCAGCGGCAUUGUUGUGCCCUUUUAUUUGGUUGAGUAGUUGUUUUAGAGUAGGUGGUAAGUGUUGGUUUUGUUUAGGUUUGAGAGAAUUGUUAGUAGUUUUAGCUUUAAAUCUUAGAGUUCCGUUGCAAAUAUAUUGAUUGGAGUCUGGCUAAGGUUUGGGUUGUCUGUUGCUCUGCCAAAAAUGUUAUUUGAUUACCAAUUGACAAUCCCAAAUAAAUUUUGUUCAAAGUUGAGUGAAUAUUUUGUUGUUUUGGCUUUGUUUUCCACCAAGAAUAAACUACAAUCAUUCAGUUGAUAUUGCAAUUGAAAUUGUUUUCAUUAUUUCCUAUGAUUUCUUUGCUAAUUUUUACAGUUUUGCAACCUAGAGGUUAUCGUUUUUUUAAUGUCCUGUGUACCACUACGACCAGGAAGACGUGACUAGAUGAUUUUCUUUAUGCAGUUGAAAAGGAUGUGCAAAGAGGGAGCAUAUUGGGGUGAAUGCAAACUUUAUUUCUGUGACAAUUCCAUCACAAAUGGUAUGUUUGAAGUUCUGGAUUGUAGAGGUUAAUAGCAAGUUGCCACUGGUAAAAAUAUCAUUUUGUUUCUUUUAUAAGUUUUGACUUUAUAAAUCUGUAGUCUUGAUUAAAUUUGGUUCUUGAAUUAGGUCAAGGAAGUGUUGGUGUAUUUACUAUAGUUCUGAAAUGUCAAUUGUUCGUUAUUGGUAUACUGUUGUUGCCUUAUUGGAUACACUACAUGGGGUGUUUGUUGUCUGCAUUGUGUUGGCAGUGGUCGAGGCUGUACUCGAUGACUUGUCCUCCUCGUGAGAGUCACGUGACGAGCCUUGUACGCAGUAAAUUUGCCUAGGUGGCUUCAUUGCCUAUACUAAUAAGAACAUCAAAUUAAGGGACCAGAUCAUGAAGUGUAAUUGACAGCCUAUACUAAGAUGUUUGGAAAAAGUGUAGGUUAUCUGUUGAACAUCAAAUUAUAGCUUAUACUCACAACCAUCCCUUGUUCUCCCAUCUAUCAAUUCUAAUCAGUAUUGUUUUCAUCCUCCUUUAUUUUACGAACAAGAUGGAUUAUGCUUAUGAGUUUCUCAAUGCAUCCUUUGAUUUCGAUCUAGGGUUUCAAAUCCUGUUUUAAUUAAUUGUAAGUCUAAACUUUGAUUUGGAUCUAGUGAUUUUUUUGGAUUGUCAUAAAUAUUCUUUAUUGUUUUAUAACUUUGUAAGAGAAAAGGAAAUCCAGAUUGAAGAACAGCCUCAUAAAAACAGCUAAAAGAAUCUCAAGUGGAGAAUUCCACUAAUAGAGGAAAAACGUAGAAUACAUGGCUUGCAGGAUAGUCUUACAAACGAUUUUCUCUACGGAAUCAUGGCUGCUACCAUCUGCAUGUUGAAGUUUUUGAUCUGAAGUUUUGAACCAAAGGCUGACGAGGUCCUGUUAGCACUCAAUCUGAAAGUUGGUGACAUCUACAAACAUUCUGAAUGCGCAAUGUUUUUGGAUUUGAAUGUAAUAAGUAGCUAGUUUUGAACAUCGACCGUAAUGUACAUUUACUUAUUGUGGACAUGGAAAUAUCCAUCUUUUGUAAUUAACUUUAUUUCAAUAUUUAAAUAUAAUGACAAUAUUAGAUA